UACGAAGGGGGGCUAGCGUUUGCUCGGAAUUACUGGGGCGUAAAGCGCGCGUAGGCGGCUUUGUAAGUUAGAGGUGAAAGCCCGGAGCUCAACUCCGGAACUGCCUUUAAGACUGCAUCGCUAGAACGUCGGAGAGGUGAGUGGAAUUCCGAGUGUAGAGGUGAAAAUUCGUAGAUAUUCGGAAGAACACCAGUGGCGAAGGCGGCUCACUGGCCCGAUACUGACGCUGAGGCACGAAAAGCGUGGGGGAGCAAACAGG
This 259-nucleotide ribosomal RNA is filed under the name uncultured bacterium. RNAcentral's name for it is "partial 16S ribosomal RNA". It matches the Rfam family "Bacterial small subunit ribosomal RNA", at positions 524 to 776 of the family's 1533-position model. The record is from RNAcentral.